Molecule: long non-coding RNA, 1293 nt
Filed under: Helianthus annuus (common sunflower)
Lineage: Eukaryota; Viridiplantae; Streptophyta; Magnoliopsida; Asterales; Asteraceae
Description: hypothetical non coding rna
Source: RNAcentral
GAAGCACUGUAACACCCAUCAACGAUACCACCACCUGAUCACCAACCAUCACCGCCAUCAACAACCACCACCAGCCGCCGCCACCACUAGCAUCCCUGCCAUCACCACCAUUGACCGCCACAUCCACCCUGGUGUCUUCUUCCCCGUGUAACCCUGGAAAUCGGCCCUAAUUUCAUUUCGCAAUUUUGUGUUCAAUCGGUGUGGUUUCCACUCAAAAACUAUAGGGCUUUUACUCACAACGAGAAUACGAGUAGAAUGGUAUAGGUAUUACCUUCAAUCGUUGCCCGGUGACAGCCGGCGGCUUUAGCCGGAGUAAUAACGGCGGCGGUGGCUGUAUAUAGAGGGUAGAACAUGGUCGAUUUGAGGGAGACUAACAAUUUCCAGGUUUGAUCGAGUUAUAAAAUCUUCCUAGUUUACAACCAAAUAAAAAUUUGAUGUUUGUUCAGAAUAUGAAAUUGAAGAUAAAUUAGGGUUUGGUGGAGUUAUAAAAUCUUUAUAUUCGUAUACUGGCAGAUGGAUUGGUUUAAAAUUAUGGAGCUUUGAUUCUGGUGAUAGAUUUUGGUUUAAAAUUCAAGAUGAACUUAAACAAAUGGUGGAGUUUAUAUAUGAAUGAGUAAAUUGCCACUCUAGAUCCAGGUCGUGUCGGGUCGGGUCUUAACUAUCGAGAUCGAGGUGGUUGGUGGUUGCGGUUUAGAAAAAGAGAGGCAAAGGUGUUACAAAUGGUGUGGUGGGAGAUUGUUGUGGUGGUGGGUGGUGGCGGGCUGCCAGCGUCGAUAAUGGUGGUUUCGGUUUAGAAAGAGAGAGGCAGAGGUGUUACAGGUUGUGUGGUGGGAGAUCGUUGUGGUGGUGGGUGGUGGUGGACUGGCGGCGUUGAUGAUGGUGGGUGGUGAUGCACCGGAGACGUGGUGGUGGUCAACGGAAAUGUAGAUAGAGAGAGAUGUGAACAAUAAGAUAGUUGUUUAUAUAAUGGGUUAAAAAGAUUGGACUAAAAUGACAGAGUUAAGCAAUGUGAUCAAAAUGGCAAAGAAAUGCAAAACUCAGGAACCCAGAGAAGAAAAAAAUUAUUUGGACUAAAAUGACAAUUUAGGACAAACCUCAGGGACUAAAAUAAGACAAUUUACUCUUACGAAUAUAAUCAAACAUAUUAUAUAUUUUUUUGGUCAGCAUACGAUUCAAAGUUAGAUGACUAGAUUGUAUUUAUACUUGUUGCUACACACUUGUUAUUGUUUCCACUCAUAAUCGGCUAAUAUUAUAUGUAGUGGCGGAACUAGUCCAUUAAAUUAGAAGUAUCUC